This is a long non-coding RNA of Saccostrea cuccullata (small rock oyster), 790 nucleotides long. RefSeq lists it as uncharacterized. The record is from RefSeq and is a predicted model, not a curated record. The transcript has 3 exons. Lineage: Eukaryota; Metazoa; Mollusca; Bivalvia; Ostreida; Ostreidae.
UGAGCAUGAUGUUUGAACAUAAUUCACAACUGAAUUCACAAAGCAGUAACAGGUAACUGCGCAGCAGACUUUCAGAUCAGUUCAAUACAUUUUUCAGUCGAAAGUGCAUUACAGGAGCCCAGAGAUGAUCAAAAAUUGAGAGCAGAAGAAAUUUGAGGCUGACCAGGAUCCUGAAGUGAGGAGCAGUCCCUUUCCCAUUUAACAGCAUUCAUGAGCAGAAAAUGGGGAAGCAGAAAUGCUGAGACAGUUCAGAAGAAACAUCACCAGAAGCCACAGCAACAGCAAAGGAAGCUUAUAUGGAAGUAUUUUUGAUUUUCUCCCUUCUUUCCCCUACCCCCUGGCCCCUGCUGACUCUAACAUAACUAACCAUCCCCUUCCCUUUCCCCCUCAUUCGUCUUCCUGAAUUCACUGUCAUUGUUUUCUGAUUUUUCAACGAAUUGUGUUGUACUGAUUUUAUUCACUUGAAUUUUUGUGAUUUGUUGCAUUGUUUUGAAGUCUUACUAAUCUUGUGCCAGUUUAUACUUUCAGGGACUCGGAAGAGGAACAACGAUGGAGGAGCAAGGUCGACCAACAGAAGAAGACGAGAUGACGAGUCCAUUUCCCAUCUCUAUACAGCAGCCAACAUGGCCCAAAGUGGUAAGUAACUUUUCGUGAUUUGUUGCAUUCUUUUGAAGUUUUACUAACAUUGUGCCAGUUUUAUACUUUCAGGGACUGGGAAGAGGAACAACGAUGGAGGAGCAGGGUCGACCAACAGAGGAAGACGAGAUGACGAGUCCAUUUCCCAUCUCUA